This is a long non-coding RNA of Chelonia mydas (Green sea turtle), 1980 nucleotides long. RefSeq lists it as uncharacterized. NCBI's taxonomy places the organism in Eukaryota, Metazoa, Chordata, Testudines, Cheloniidae. The record is from RefSeq and is a predicted model, not a curated record. The transcript has 2 exons.
AAGGAGAUCAUUUAAAGGGAGUGAGCCCAUCUAGGCAGUUAACUGAAUAAUGAGCACCUGGGCCUGAUGAAAGGCCAUUAGGGCUCAGUUGCAGAGAGGUGCUCCUCGAGAGAGAAGUUAUCUGAGACCCUAGCAGGAGAAGGACUGGAGCCUGUCAACUUCUCCAAGCUGACAGGUGAAAGGAAUGAGUAUAAAAGGGGAAAAGCUGCCUGAGGCCUACAGCUGGCCUGAAGCAUAAUCCUGCUCUGGGAGGAGAGCUGGGGGACUCCUGGAUUAAGAAGAGGAAGACUCCUUGAUAAACCAGCUGCAUGAGGAGGGCUGACACCUGAACCUUGGAGAAGUUGCUUGUCAGCAUAAGUCCAGGGCUGAAGAAGUGUUGAACCCGAGGGGCUAAUAAGGAUGGAUUUUCCUGGUAACUCUGGAAAAUGAGCUAAUAAAUGAGACCAUGUGCACCUUAUUCUCAGUUCCUGGAUCUGAGUAAAUCACUGCAAGACCACAAAGAGAGAAAGAAGGAAUCCAGCUGGUAAAGCCACACUGUGACACGAAGGGAUGCGCUCAAGGGUGCCACCCUGUGACAAGUGGUACUACAAGUGGAAUUCUGAGACACCCUCCCAUCAAGGAGGGAUGCCCAAGCAGCACGGUGCAGGUGUCUUCCUUGGUAGUGACACAUUUACCCUCCCAUGUCAGCAUAUGGAGGGGCAGCCAGAGCGGCAGCAGUUCCAGCUCCAGUUUUUGGGAGUGCCCAAAAGCAGGAGAGGCCUGUGGAGGAUGUUCCAUGAGAGAUACAGCCAGAUCAGCUAGAGUCACUGGCCUGCAAAAACCUCUCGGUCAUCAAAUGGACCCUUCAGAUACCAGCCAGACAGCUAAGAAACUUGAACUCCGCUCACAAGAUGCAAGGGGAAACAGUGACUGUUCGGAGGUUCAGUUUUGUGUUGACUUGUGUAUUUCAGAUUGCUCAAAAUGAGCUUGUGCAAGAAGGCAUAAAACAGCAUAGUGAUCAACUGAGUUGUGAGCCUCAGCAAAGAAACAAGCCAUUAAUCCAGCUGAGCCAUAAAAACUGUGGUCAUUAAAGAUCCCACAGCACCUUUUAGAAGAGUUGGAGUGUGACUGAGUGCACCCCAGUAUUCACACCCUACACACUAUUGUCAUAAUCUCUGAUUAUUAGCCUUAGCUCUCUCAUCUAAUUUCCAAUGGCAGGCUGCUGAUGUUAUCAGGCAGGCAGGAGGUCAUGGGCAACUGGAUUGGUGCUUCUGUGGCCUCGUUUAACUGUUAUCCACCUAAGGAAUCAUUUAAACAGAGAAAACACUUAGUCAUGAAGAAACUCUACGCCCACCCCCACUCUCCCAGCUGUCUUACUUCAGUCAGAACAGGGAAUGGCAGUCCCUCAGUGGGGCCACAGGGAGAUCCUCCCUUUUUAAAAAACUUGGCUGGGCAGUGGGGACACUUGAGAAGAAGAGGUUUAUUUUGCAGGGCUUCUAGUCCUGCUCUUGGCAUCACCUGCCCUAAAUGUUCUCCAGGAGAAUGUCAAAUCUAGUCUAAAUUCUUAGGCACAUGCCAAGCUUUGGGAGUGUUUACAGGCAGCCUGUGCAGUCUAGGAUGCGUGAGUUCAUUGCUGUGAUACAGGCUAAUGACAAGUAUUGUGUGUGUGUGUGUGUGUGUAUUGAAGGAGGGUUAUGAGACAUAUCUGAAGGGUCAAAAGCUCUCAGAGGUUAGAUUAUGAACCUGUUGUUCGUACUGAUGAGCAAUUACCUGCUCCAGUUCGCCAUUAACUCCAACGCAACUCCUCACGUAAGUAGCCGCUCAUCUGGGAGUUCACACUCUGGCCCUAAGGAAGGACAAUUGUUCAGGAUGGUUAUAACUAGGAGUAAGGGGAUUAAGUUGAGCAAACCAGUACUGAAUAUUAAUGAUGAAAUCUACUCGAGUGAUGUACUUAAUGCACUGCUGCAUUUAUGCGAUACCCUUAAAACUGAAUUGGACAAA